CGCACCUUGCGCCCCUCAGUUCUACUGUGGGGCAUGCCUGUUUGAGUGUCGUGAAAUUCUCAACUCAAAAGCUUUCUGAAAAGAAUUCUUUUUGAGCUUGGAUUUGGAGGUGUUGCCGGACUCUUGAUUAGAGAGGUCGGCUCCUCUUGAAUGCAUGAGUGGGUUUUUCCUAGCAGGCUAAAAACUCAUCCUCGGUGUGAUAAUUGUCUAUGCCGUGGAUGUGCUUGCAAAAGGAAACCGCUUCCAACCGUCGUUUCGACAUUGUUUUUUUGAUCUUGACCUCAAAUCAGGUAGGACUACCCGCUGAACUUAA
This 313-nucleotide unclassified non-coding RNA is filed under the name Wrightoporiopsis biennis. RNAcentral's name for it is "partial contains 5.8S ribosomal RNA, internal transcribed spacer 2, and large subunit ribosomal RNA". Lineage: Eukaryota; Fungi; Basidiomycota; Agaricomycetes; Russulales; Hericiaceae. The record is from RNAcentral.